AAGGCUUUAAGUUAAAUAAACUAAUAGCCUUCAAAGCUAUAAAUAUAGGAAUUACCCUCUAAGCUUUA
This 68-nucleotide transfer RNA is filed under the name Phortica variegata. RNAcentral's name for it is "tRNA-Trp". It matches the Rfam family "tRNA". From Rfam's summary of the family: Transfer RNA (tRNA) molecules are approximately 80 nucleotides in length. Their secondary structure includes four short double-helical elements and three loops (D, anti-codon, and T loops). The record is from RNAcentral. Lineage: Eukaryota; Metazoa; Arthropoda; Insecta; Diptera; Drosophilidae.